This 253-nucleotide ribosomal RNA is filed under the name uncultured bacterium. RNAcentral's name for it is "partial 16S ribosomal RNA". It matches the Rfam family "Bacterial small subunit ribosomal RNA", at positions 524 to 776 of the family's 1533-position model. The record is from RNAcentral.
UACGUAGGGGGCUAGCGUUGUCCGGAUUUAUUGGGCGUAAAGAGCGUGUAGGCGGUCAAGUAAGUCCGGUGUGAAAACUCGAGGCUUAACCUCGAGAUGUCAUCGGAAACCAUUUGGCUAGAGUCCGGAAGAGGAAAGUGGAAUUCUUGGUGUAGCGGUGAAAUGCGUAGAUAUCAGGAAGAACACCAGUGGCGAAAGCGCUCUGCUGGGCCGUAACUGACACUGAGGGACGAAAGCGAGGGGAGCAAAUGGG